UACAGAGGUCUCAAGCGUUGUUCGGAUUCAUUGGGCGUAAAGGGUGCGUAGGCGGCGCGGUAAGUCGGGUGUGAAAUUUCGAGGCUUAACUUCGAAACUGCAUUCGAUACUGCCGUGCUAGAGGACUGGAGAGGAGACUGGAAUUUACGGUGUAGCGGUGAAAUGCGUAGAUAUCGUAAGGAAGACCAGUGGCGAAGGCGGGUCUCUGGACAGUUCCUGACGCUGAGGCACGAAGGUCAGGGGAGCAAACGGG
RNAcentral lists this ribosomal RNA (253 nucleotides) under uncultured bacterium. Its description in RNAcentral is "partial 16S ribosomal RNA". It matches the Rfam family "Bacterial small subunit ribosomal RNA", at positions 524 to 776 of the family's 1533-position model. The record is from RNAcentral.